GUUAUAUAGUCUAAUAGGAUAUUAAAUUGCAAAUUUAAAGGUAAAAUUUAUUUUAUAACUUA
RNAcentral lists this transfer RNA (62 nucleotides) under Entiminae sp. ACP-2013. Its description in RNAcentral is "tRNA-Cys". The record is from RNAcentral. Lineage: Eukaryota; Metazoa; Arthropoda; Insecta; Coleoptera; Curculionidae.